GACGAACGCUGGCGGCGCGCCUAAUACAUGCAAGUCGAACGGGUCUCCUUCGGGAGGUCAGUGGCGGACGGGUGAGUAACACGUGGGUGACCUGCCCCGAGGUGGGGAAUAACGCUGCGAAAGCAGCGCUAAUACCGCAUAUGCUUAACGGUCCAAUCUGUUAAGCAAAGCAGCAAUGCGCUUUGGGAGGGCCUGCGGCAGAUUAGCUAGUCGGUGGGGUAAUGGCCA
RNAcentral lists this ribosomal RNA (228 nucleotides) under uncultured bacterium. RNAcentral describes it as "partial 16S ribosomal RNA". It matches the Rfam family "Bacterial small subunit ribosomal RNA", at positions 28 to 266 of the family's 1533-position model. The record is from RNAcentral.